AUUGAACGCUGGCGGCAGGCCUAACACAUGCAAGUCGAGCGGAUGAAGGGAGCUUGCUCCUGGAUUCAGCGGCGGACGGGCGAGUAAUGCCCAGGAAUCUGCCUGGUAGUUGGGGAUAACGUCCGGAAACGGGCGCUAAUACCGCAUACGUCCUGAUGUAGAAAGUGGGGGAUCUUCGGACCUCACGCUAUCUGAUGAGCCUAGGUCGGAUUAGCUAGUUGGUGUGGUAAAGGCCUACCAAGGCGACGAUCCGUAACUGGUCUGAGAGGAUGAUCAGUCACACUGGAACUGAGACACGGUCCAGACUCCUACGGGAGGCAGCAGUGGGGAAUAUUGGACAAUGGGCGAAAGCCUGAUCCAGCCAUGCCGCGUGUGUGAAGAAGGUCUUCGGAUUGUAAAGCACUUUAAGUUGGGAGGAAGGGCAGUAAGUUAAUACCUUGCUGUUUUGACGUUACCAACAGAAUAAGCACCGGCUAACUUCGUG
Molecule: ribosomal RNA, 484 nt
Filed under: uncultured bacterium
Lineage: Bacteria
Description: partial 16S ribosomal RNA
Rfam family: Bacterial small subunit ribosomal RNA
Source: RNAcentral